GCUCGCAUAGCUCAGUGGUAGAGCAUUUCACUAGUAAUGAAAAGGUCGGCGGUUCAAGUCCGCCUGUGAGCU
This 72-nucleotide transfer RNA is filed under the name Rhodospirillaceae bacterium. RNAcentral describes it as "tRNA-Thr". It matches the Rfam family "tRNA". From Rfam's summary of the family: Transfer RNA (tRNA) molecules are approximately 80 nucleotides in length. Their secondary structure includes four short double-helical elements and three loops (D, anti-codon, and T loops). The record is from RNAcentral. Lineage: Bacteria; Pseudomonadati; Pseudomonadota; Alphaproteobacteria; Rhodospirillales; Rhodospirillaceae.